This 675-nucleotide ribosomal RNA is filed under the name uncultured bacterium. RNAcentral's name for it is "bacterial SSU rRNA". It matches the Rfam family "Bacterial small subunit ribosomal RNA", at positions 8 to 700 of the family's 1533-position model. The record is from RNAcentral.
AGAGUUUGAUCAUGGCUCAGGAUGAACGCUGGCGGCGUGCUUAACACAUGCAAGUCGAACGUGAGGGUGUAGCAAUAUGCCUGAAAGUGGCGAACGGGUGAGUAACACGUAGAUGACCUGCCCUGGAGUGGGGGAUAACCAUUGGAAACGGUGGCUAAUACCGCAUACAUCCAGAAGAUUGGGAAAUUUUCUGGGGAAAGCUCUGGUGCUCUGGGAGGGGUCUGCGUCCGAUUAGCUAGUUGGUGAGGUAAAGGCUCACCAAGGCGACGAUCGGUAGCUGGUCUGAGAGGACGAUCAGCCGCACGGGAACUGAGACACGGUCCCGACUCCUACGGGGGGCAGCAGUGAGGAAUAUUGGGCAAUGGGCGAGAGCCUGACCCAGCAACGCCGCGUGGAGGAAGACGGCCUUCGGGUUGUAAACUCCUUUUGACAGGGAAGAGAGAGGACGGUACCUGUCGAAUAAGUCACGGCUAACUACGUGCCAGCAGCCGCGGUAAUACGUAGGUGACAAGCGUUAUCCGGAAUUACUGGGCGUAAAGCGCACGCAGGCGGCUGCUUAAGUCUGACGUGAAAUCUCCUGGCUUAACUGGGAGGGGUCGUUGGAAACUGGGUGGCUUGAGGUGGUGAGAGGGGUGCANAAUUCCCCGGUGUAGUGGUGGAAUGCGUAAAUAUCGG